AGUGAACGCUGGCGGUAGGCCUAACACAUGCAAGUCGAACGGCAGCACAGUAAGAGCUUGCUCUUACGGGUGGCGAGUGGCGGACGGGUGAGGAAUACAUCGGAAUCUACUUUUUCGUGGGGGAUAACGUAGGGAAACUUACGCUAACACCGCAUACGACCUACGGGGGAAAGCAGGGGAUCUUCGGACCUUGCGCGAUUGAAUGAGCCGAUGUCGGAUUAGCUAGUUGGCGGGUUAAAGGCCCACCAAGGCGACGAUCCGUAGCUGGUCUGAGAGGAUGAUCGCCCACACUGGAACUGAGACACGGUCCAGACUCCUACGGGAGGCAGCAGUGGGGAAUAUUGGGCAAUGGGCGCAAGCCUGAUCCAGCCAUACCGCGUGGGUGAAGAAGGCCUUCGGGUUGUAAAGCCCUUUUGUUGGGAAAGAAAAGCAGCAGGUUAAUACCCCGCUGUUCUGACGGUACCCAAAGAAUAAGCACCGGCUAACUUCGUG
This 492-nucleotide ribosomal RNA is filed under the name uncultured bacterium. RNAcentral's name for it is "partial 16S ribosomal RNA". It matches the Rfam family "Bacterial small subunit ribosomal RNA", at positions 29 to 507 of the family's 1533-position model. The record is from RNAcentral.